Molecule: small nuclear RNA, 105 nt
Filed under: Phascolarctos cinereus (koala)
Lineage: Eukaryota; Metazoa; Chordata; Mammalia; Diprotodontia; Phascolarctidae
Source: RNAcentral
AUGUUCUUUCAGCAAUAUAUACAUUAAAUUGGAAUACUAAAGAGAAGCUGAGCAUGGCCCCUGCAUAAGGGUGGCACACAGAAACUACAACAAGUUAAAAUAGAA